AUGAACGCUGGCGGCGUGCCUAAUACCUGCAAGUCGCGCGAACAGACGAGGAGCUUGCUCCUCUGACGUUAGCGGCGGACGGGUGAGUAACACGUGGAUAACCUACCUAUAAGACUGGGAUAACUUCGGGAAACCGGAGCUAAUACCGGAUAAUAUAUUGAACCGCAUGGUUCAAUAGUGAAAGACGGUUUUGCUGUCACUUAUAGAUGGAUCCGCGCCGCAUUAGCUAGUUGGUAAGGUAACGGCUUACCAAGACGACGAUGCGUAGCCGACCUGAGAGGGUGAUCGGCCACACUGGAACUGAGACACGGUCCAGACUCCUACGGGAGGCAGCAGUAGGGAAUCUUCCGCAAUGGGCGAAAGCCUGACGGAGCAACGCCGCGUGAGUGAUGAAGGUCUUCGGAUCGUAAAACUCUGUUAUUAGGGAAGAACAAAUGUGUAAGUAACUAUGCACGUCUUGACGGUACCUAAUCAGAAAGCCACGGCUAACUACGUG
This 496-nucleotide ribosomal RNA is filed under the name uncultured bacterium. RNAcentral describes it as "partial 16S ribosomal RNA". It matches the Rfam family "Bacterial small subunit ribosomal RNA", at positions 29 to 507 of the family's 1533-position model. The record is from RNAcentral.